Long non-coding RNA from Oncorhynchus tshawytscha (Chinook salmon), 719 nucleotides. NCBI's taxonomy places the organism in Eukaryota, Metazoa, Chordata, Actinopteri, Salmoniformes, Salmonidae. The record is from Ensembl.
GGAGUCUCCUCCACUCUGUCCAAUAGAUGGGAGUCUCCUCCACUCUGUCCAAAAGAUGGGAGUCUCCUCCACUCUGUACAAUAGAUGGGAUCUCCUCCACUCUGUCCAAUAGAUGGAAGUCUCCUCCACUCUGUCCAAUAGACGGAGUAUCCUCCACUCUGUCCAAUAGACGGAGUAUCCUCCACUCUGUCCAAUAGACGUAGUAUCCUCCACUCUGUCCAACAGACGGAGUCUCCUCCACUCUGUCCAAAAGAUGGGAGUCUCCUCCACUCUGUCCAACAGAUGGAGUCUCCUCCACUCUGUCCAAUAGACGGAGUCUCCUCCACUCUGUCCAAUACAUGGGAGUCUCCUCCACUCUGUCCAAUAGAUGGGAGUCUCCUCCACUCUGUCCAAUAGAUGGGAGUCUCCUCCACUCUGUCCAAUAGACGGAGUCUCCUCCACUCUGUCAAAUAGACGGAGUCUCCUCCACUCUGUCCAAUAGACGGAGUCUCCUCCACUCUGUCCAAUAGACGGAGUCUCCUCCACUCUGUCCAAUAGACGGAGUCUCCUCCACUUUGUCCAAUAGACGGAGUCUCCUCCACUCUGUACAAUAGACGGAGUCUCCUCUACUCUGUCCAAUAGAUGGGAGUCUCCUCCACUCUGUCCAAUAGACGGAGUCUCCUCUACUCUGUCCAAUAGAUGGGAGUCUCCUCCACUCUGUCCAAUAGAUGGGAGUCUCC